AUAAACCCACCCCUGUCCAACCUUAUCCCUCCCACCCCAACCACCCCACGCCUACCCACCCUCUUCAACACCGAGUCGUCCCACCUCCCAACCAGCGCGCCCCGCCACCUCCCCGUGUGGCCCCGCCAGCUACCUCCCAUGCCCCGCCGCCUCAACCUCGAGCACCAGCACUCCGCCCCCACCACCGAGCACCAGCUCCAAACCGGCCCGACGCGCCUCACCUUCUCCCCGGUGCGCCGCACACCACCCGAGACAUCGCCCCACCUUCCCCACCUCCGCGCACGGCGCGCCCCACCCCGAGAUGCUAGACCACCCCAGAUCCUCGACGGCCCCCGGCGCCGCAACCCGCCCCCAUACGCGGAUUCGCACAGCACCGCCGUCCCCGACCAGCAACCACCCCGGAUCGAUGCCGAUGAUGCUUGACCGCCUCCAACCACCGCGGGCCCUCCCUGCUCCCCCCAGCGCUACCUGGCGCGGCCAUCGGCCUCUCCAUCCUGGGUGAGGGCGGGGCGCGGGCAAGGAUGGAGUCCCGGUGGGAGCGGCCGGAGGCGAAGAUCUUCGCCAAUCUGGCUUCCUCCGGUACCUGCAGCUCGGCCCAGGACGGCAUGCGGCUCGACCGAUGGCGGCUUGCAGUACGCCGACGCCCUCCGUGCUCACCACCGACGCCUCCUUCUUCCUCCACACGUCCGGGCACCCCUGCUACCCUCGCAUCCAGCGCAGGUGGGGACGAGCCCCGGCCGCCACGCUCCCCUGUCCUCUGACCUCUAUCUCCACUCUCUUGGGCUGGAUCUAUAUCACACCUAGAGCUGAGCAACUGUGGCGUCCGACUCUCUGUGUAGUCAACAUCGUCGAUGAACAGUGUGCUCCCUGUUCCUCCUCUCCGGUAUGAGCAAUUCAAGGUCGUCGCUGGAGCAGUCGGCUUGCCUCCUCUCCCGCGAACUGUUGCAUCAUUGCCAAGCAGUUCGCUAUGUUUCUUUCUUUAGUUAUUUGUAUAUGAUCUUUUCGUUAGUAGUUUGACCUUUCGUGUUUUAGAUUUUUGCUGUGCGCCUGGAUGUGAAGUGCAGUGCACCCGGAUCCCGCGAGCAGUGUGUCGCGCGCCCUGGUGUGGUUCAUCCACGGCCAGGGAAGGAGAUACAUAAAACAAAGAAAUUGACCGCACCCACGAUGAAGUUUUUUGUUUGGUGCAGUUUCAAAUGCUGCCUUUGAAAGAAAAUGUAUGUGCGUAUUGAGAAGUUCAGUUUUAUGGUUGGCCAUCUUUCUCUGCUUUGUGAUGGCCGAGGAGUGGGCGAGAGGAGUUGCUUGCCGUGUGCAUAUGCUGUUCAUUGUUGUUGUGUCUCUCUAGACCAUGUAGUGCAGAACACAUUAGAAAAAUAGCUAAGAAAAAUUGUGCGAUUUUACUACUCUUGACCCUGCAGUGCAGAACACUUAGAAAAAAUACAUAUAGAAACAUGCAGUUCAGUAUGGUGAACACAUGCAUGAUUUUGUUUAAAAUAUAUUGUUCA
Aegilops tauschii subsp. strangulata is the source of this 1502-nucleotide long non-coding RNA. RefSeq lists it as uncharacterized. The record is from RefSeq and is a predicted model, not a curated record. Lineage: Eukaryota; Viridiplantae; Streptophyta; Magnoliopsida; Poales; Poaceae.